This 103-nucleotide small nuclear RNA is filed under the name Phascolarctos cinereus (koala). The record is from RNAcentral. Lineage: Eukaryota; Metazoa; Chordata; Mammalia; Diprotodontia; Phascolarctidae.
UUGCUUCAGUAGUACAUAUAGUAAAAUUGGAAUAAUAUAAAGAAGAUUAGCAUGACCCCUGCGCAAAGAUGGCAUGCAAAUUUGUGAAGCAUUCUAUUUUUUU